Molecule: ribosomal RNA, 498 nt
Filed under: uncultured bacterium
Lineage: Bacteria
Description: bacterial SSU rRNA
Rfam family: Bacterial small subunit ribosomal RNA
Source: RNAcentral
GAUGAACGCUGGCGGCGUGCCUAACACAUUCAAGUCGAACGGGCAGUAGCGAUACUGUCAGUGGCGGACGGGUGAGUAAUACAUGAGCAACCUGCCUUAAAGAGGGGGAUAACACUGGGAAACCGGUGCUAAUACCGCAUGACGCAUAGAGGAGGCAUCUCCUUUAUGCCAAAGGAGCAAUCCGCUUUAAGAUGGGCUCAUGUCUGAUUAGAUAGUUGGUAGGGUAACGGCCUACCAAGUCUACGAUCAGUAGCCGGACUGAGAGGUCGGACGGCCACAUUGGAACUGAGAAACGGUCCAAACUCCUACGGGAGACAGCAGUGAGGAAUAUUGGUCAAUGGGCGAGAGCCUGAACCAGCCAAGUCGCGUGAAGGAAGAAGGUCUUAUGGAUUGUAAACUUCUUUAGCAGGGGAAUAAAGGUUAUUACGAGCUAAUAAUUUGCAGGUACUCUGCGAAAAAGGAUCGGCUAACUCCGUGCCAGCAGCCGCGGUAAACAUA